This 163-nucleotide ribosomal RNA is filed under the name uncultured bacterium. RNAcentral's name for it is "partial 16S ribosomal RNA". It matches the Rfam family "Bacterial small subunit ribosomal RNA", at positions 355 to 510 of the family's 1533-position model. The record is from RNAcentral.
UAGGGAAUCUUCCACAAUGGGCGAAAGCCUGAUGGAGCAACGCCGCGUGUGUGAUGAAGGGUUUCGGCUCGUAAAACACUGUUGUAAGAGAAGAAUGACAUUGAGAGUAACUGUUCAAUGUGUGACGGUAUCUUACCAGAAAGGAACGGCUAAAUACGUGCCC